Molecule: ribosomal RNA, 655 nt
Filed under: Cymbidium kanran
Lineage: Eukaryota; Viridiplantae; Streptophyta; Magnoliopsida; Asparagales; Orchidaceae
Description: eukaryotic LSU rRNA
Rfam family: 5.8S ribosomal RNA (bases 242-397)
Source: RNAcentral
UCGAGACCGAAACACAUCGAGCGAUUCGGAGAACUCGUGAAGCGAGCGGCGGCGGUUGCCGCCGCGGGACGACCGUCCCGGCCGUCGCCUCGUCCCCUCCUGGGAGGGGCGCGGGGGGCACGGCCGGGGACGGAUGAAACACAAACCGGCGCAGCUCCGCGCCAAGGGAAAAUCGAAAGGCACGGGCCCCGCGUCGGGCUCGGUGGCGUGGAGCGCCGUCGCGCUCCAUGCGGAUGGACACGACUCUCGGCAAUGGAUAUCUCGGCUCUCGCAUCGAUGAAGAGCGCAGCGAAAUGCGAUACGUGGUGCGAAUUGCAGAAUCCCGCGAACCAUCGAGUCUUUGAACGCAAGUUGCGCCCGAGGCCAGCCGGCCGAGGGCACGUCCGCCUGGGCGUCAAGCAUCGCGUCGCUCCGUGCCAACUCCGUCGCCCCGAUGGGUGCGUGUCGGCCGAGGCGCGGACGCGCAGGGUGGCCCGUCGUGCCCUCCGGCGCGGCGGGCUGAAGAGUCGGUCGUCGUCUCGCUGGCUGCGGGCAACGAGGGGUGGGUGAAAGCUGUGAGCACAGCCCGCGUUGUCUCGCGCGGAGCCUGAGAGAACGACGGUGCCCCCGAGGCGAUCCCGACCCACGCGCCGAUCUGCAUGCGGCGGCUUGGAAU